GUGGAUGAUGUGGUUUAAUUCGAUGCAACGCGAAAAACCUUACCCACCUUUGACAUGUACGGAAUUUGCCAGAGAUGGCUUAGUGCUCGAAAGAGAGCCGUAACACAGGUGCUGCAUGGCUGUCGUCAGCUCGUGUCGUGAGAUGUUGGGUUAAGUCCCGCAACGAGCGCAACCCUUGUCAUUAGUUGCUACAUUCAGUUGGGCACUCUAAUGAGACUGCCGGUGACAAACCGGAGGAAGGUGGGGAUGACGUCAAGUCCUCAUGGCCCUUAUAGGUGGGGCUACACACGUCAUACAAUGGCUGGUACAAAGGGUUGCCAACCCGCGAGGGGGAGCUAAUCCCAUAAAACCAGUCGUAGUCCGGAUCGCAGUCUGCAACUCGACUGCGUGAAGUCGGAAUCGCUAGUAAUCGUGGAUCAGAAUGUCACGGUGAAUACGUUCCCGGGUCUUGUACACACCGCCCGUCACACCAUGGGAGCGGGUUCUGCCAGAAGUAGUUAGCUUAACCGCAAGGAGGGCGAUUACCACGGCAGGGUUCGUGACUGGGGUGAAGUCGUAACAAGGUA
Molecule: ribosomal RNA, 566 nt
Filed under: uncultured marine bacterium
Lineage: Bacteria
Description: bacterial SSU rRNA
Rfam family: Bacterial small subunit ribosomal RNA
Source: RNAcentral